GGAAAAGUGACACUUCUUGUGAUAACCGUGUAUGACUGUCACCCUUUCCAAUCAAUAGGCCACAGUUAUGUGCAAGAACGCAUCCAGGAUUGCAUAUCAACUCCAAGGAGGUGACUGGUGGUCCCCUUUUCUAGACAGGGCACCUGGAGGCCACCUAUUCUCAGACCUCAGCAUGGCUCCAAAAGGAUCAGAGCUCUUUGCCAAAGAAAUGUUCAAAUAUCCAUGAAGAAAGGGGAGAAGAAAUUCAGAGGUCCUCAGAUGAUCUGGAGAUGACCUGGCUUACAGUAGUACUGAAUCUGGAACUCAUCAGACCUGCUGUUUUUCAUGCCCUGCACAGCAACCCAGGGGACUGACUUGCCCAAGGUCCUCCUGUAAAUGGAAUCGCUAGAAGCAGACCCUGAAUCCCUCACCUCUUCAUGGUGAGUGCUUAAUGUCCACCUUGGACUGGGGCUGUGUCCUAUUUUCUUAAGAGGGUCUACUAGAACAGAUAUUUCUAGCUUAAUGUUUAUAGUCAGAGAAGGUAGAAACGAACAAAAACAAUAAUCACAACACGAGGGUCUCCAGUUCUAAGGAAACUGUUGUCAGCGUUGAGGUCUGUAAUAGCCACUUGUAAAUGUGUAAUGGGAAAGGAGUGGGACUUGUGGCUGAUGUCAGCAGGGCAGCUUUUGUCAGAAGCUGCUCUUUUUGCUUUUCCUUUAGAAGCCAGAUCUGAAAGACCCAUUUUCCUCAGAAUUUCUGCUCCGAGGUAAGGCUGGAGGCCUCCUUUCACUCCUACAGUUCAUUUAGGCUGCACUCAGGGUGGUUUCCAAUCAGCAUGGAAACAUUUGUACCUUG
Molecule: long non-coding RNA, 834 nt
Filed under: Cervus hanglu yarkandensis (Yarkand deer)
Lineage: Eukaryota; Metazoa; Chordata; Mammalia; Artiodactyla; Cervidae
Description: lncRNA (ENSCHYG00000011746.1)
Source: RNAcentral